Molecule: ribosomal RNA, 1004 nt
Filed under: uncultured bacterium
Lineage: Bacteria
Description: bacterial SSU rRNA
Rfam family: Bacterial small subunit ribosomal RNA
Source: RNAcentral
AGUGGGGAAUAUUGCACAAUGGACGAAAGUCUGAUGCAGCAACGCCGCGUGGAGGAUGACACAUUUCGGUGCGUAAACUCCUUUUAUAUGAGAAGAUAAUGACGGUAUCAUAUGAAUAAGCACCGGCUAACUCCGUGCCAGCAGCCGCGGUAAUACGGAGGGUGCAAGCGUUAUUCGGAAUCACUGGGCGUAAAGGGUGCGUAGGCGGUUUGAUAAGUCUGAUGUGAAAUCCUAUGGCUCAACCAUAGAACUGCAUUGGAAACUGUCAAACUAGAAUACUGAAGGGGCAGAUGGAAUUAGUGGUGUAGGGGUAAAAUCCGUAGAUAUCACUAGGAAUACCGAAAGCGAAAGCGAUCUGCUGGGAAGUUAUUGACGCUGAGGCACGAAAGCGUGGGGAGCAAACGGGAUUAGAUACCCCGGUAGUCCACGCCCUAAACGAUGAAUGCUAGUCGUCGGAAAGCUCGUCUUUUCGGUGAUGCAGUUAACACAUUAAGCAUUCCGCCUGGGGAGUACGGUCGCAAGAUUAAAACUCAAAGGAAUAGACGGGGACCCGCACAAGUGGUGGAGCAUGUGGUUUAAUUCGAAGAUACGCGAAGAACCUUACCAAGCCUUGACAUUGAUUGAAUCUGGUAGAGAUACCGGAGUGCUAGUUUACUAGAACAUGAAAACAGGUGCUGCACGGCUGUCGUCAGCUCGUGUCGUGAGAUGUUGGGUUAAGUCCCGCAACGAGCGCAACCCUCGUCGUUAGUUGCUAACAGUUCGGCUGAGCACUCUAGCGAGACUGCCUUCGCAAGGAGGAGGAAGGUGAGGACGACGUCAAGUCAUCAUGGCCCUUAUGGCUUGGGCUACACACGUGCUACAAUGGGGCGUACAGAGAGUUGCGAUACCGCGAGGUGGAGCUAAUCUCAUAAAGCGUCUCUCAGUUCGGAUUGGACUCUGCAACUCGAGUCCAUGAAGCUGGAAUCACUAGUAAUCGUAGAUCAGCAAUGCUACGGUGAAUACGU